Molecule: ribosomal RNA, 498 nt
Filed under: uncultured bacterium
Lineage: Bacteria
Description: partial 16S ribosomal RNA
Rfam family: Bacterial small subunit ribosomal RNA
Source: RNAcentral
AUUGAACGCUGGCGGUAUGCUUACCACAUGCAAGUCGAACGAUGAGAAAGAGCUUGCUCUUCCGAUUAGUGGCGGACGGGUGCGUAACGCGUAGGAAUCUACCUAUUAGUGGGGGACAACUUAGGGAAAAUUAAGCUAAUACCGCAUACGCCCUACGGGGAAAGAAGGGGAUCGCAAGACCUUCUGCUACAAGCUGAGCCUGCGUAGGAUUAGCUAGGUGGUGGGGUAAAAGCGCACCAAGGCGACGAUCCUUAACUGGUUUGAGAGAAUGAUCAGUCACACUGGAACUGAGACACGGUCCAGACUCCUACGGGAGGCAGCAGUGGGGAAUAUUGGACAAUGGGCGAAAGCCUGAUCCAGCAAUACCGCGUGUGUGAAGAAGGCCUUAGGGUUGUAAAGCACUUUCAAUAGGAAGGAAAACCUCGAAGCUAAUACCUUCGAGUUUGACAUUACCUUUAGAAGAAGCACCGGCUAACUCCGUGCCAGCAGCCGCGGUAA